Molecule: ribosomal RNA, 548 nt
Filed under: uncultured bacterium
Lineage: Bacteria
Description: partial 16S ribosomal RNA
Rfam family: Bacterial small subunit ribosomal RNA
Source: RNAcentral
UGGGGAAUUUUGGACAAUGGGCGCAAGCCUGAUCCAGCCAUGCCGCGUGCGGGAAGAAGGCCUUCGGGUUGUAAACCGCUUUUGUCAGGGAAGAAAUCUUCUGAGUUAAUACCUCGGGAGGAUGACGGUACCUGAAGAAUAAGCACCGGCUAACUACGUGCCAGCAGCCGCGGUAAUACGUAGGGUGCAAGCGUUAAUCGGAAUUACUGGGCGUAAAGCGUGCGCAGGCGGUUUUGUAAGACAGAGGUGAAAUCCCCGGGCUCAACCUGGGAACUGCCUUUGUGACUGCAAGGCUUGAGUGCGGCAGAGGGGGAUGGAAUUCCGCGUGUAGCAGUGAAAUGCGUAGAUAUGCGGAGGAACACCGAUGGCGAAGGCAAUCCCCUGGGCCUGCACUGACGCUCAUGCACGAAAGCGUGGGGAGCAAAACAGAUUAGAUACCCCUGGUAGUCCACGCCCCUAAAACGAUGUCAACUGGUUGUUGGGAAGGUUCCUUUCUCAGUAACGUAGCUAACGCGUGAAGUUGACCCGCCUGGGGGAGUACGGCCCGC